This 120-nucleotide ribosomal RNA is filed under the name uncultured bacterium. Its description in RNAcentral is "partial 16S ribosomal RNA". It matches the Rfam family "Bacterial small subunit ribosomal RNA", at positions 215 to 334 of the family's 1533-position model. The record is from RNAcentral.
GCGUCUAAAGAGGAGCCUGCGGCAGAUUAGCUAGUUGGUAAGGUAAUGGCUUACCAAGGCUAUGAUCUGUAGCCGGCCUGAGAGGGCGGUCGGCCACACUGACACUGACAUACGGGUCAG